RNAcentral lists this ribosomal RNA (879 nucleotides) under uncultured bacterium. Its description in RNAcentral is "bacterial SSU rRNA". It matches the Rfam family "Bacterial small subunit ribosomal RNA", at positions 8 to 905 of the family's 1533-position model. The record is from RNAcentral.
AGAGUUUGAUCAUGGCUCAGAACGAACGCUGGCGGUAUGCUUAACACAUGCAAGUCGAACGAGAAAAUCCCCUCGGGGAUGAUUAGAGUGGCGCACGGGUGAGUAAUACGUAGAUAACCUACCUCCUAGUCUAGGAUAACUUUUUGAAAAGAAAGCUAAUACUGGAUAAUAAGAAUAAACGAAUGUUUUUUCUUUAAAAGAAUUUCGCUGAGAGAUGGGUCUGCGCAACAUUAGCUUGUUGGUGAGGUAACGGCUCACCAAGGUUACGAUGUUUAGCGGGUCUGAGAGGAUGGCCCGCCACACUGGAACUGAGAUACGGUCCAGACUCCUACGGGAGGCAGCAGUGGGGAAUCUUGCGCAAUGGGCGAAAGCCUGACGCAGCAAUACCGCGUGGGUGAAGAAGGUCUUCGGAUCGUAAAGCCCUUUAUAUAAGCGAGGAUAAUGACGUUAGCUUAUGAAUAAGCACCGGCUAACUCCGUGCCAGCAGCCGCGGUAAUACGGAGGGUGCGAGCGUUGUUCGGAUUUACUGGGCGUAAAGAGCACGUAGGCGGCUUGAAAAGCCAAGGGUGAAAUCCCAGAGCUCAACUCUGGAACUGCUCUUGGAACUUUCAGGCUUGAGAUAGUUAGAGGCAAGUGGAAUUCCUGGUGUAGAAGUGAAAUUCGUAGAUAUCAGGAGGAACACCAGUGGCGAAGGCGACUUGCUGGAGCUAGUCUGACGCUGAGGUGCGAAAGCGUAGGUAGCAAACAGGAUUAGAUACCCUGGUAGUCUACGCCCUAAACAAUGAGUGUCAGCUGUAUGUGGCUUCGAAUCCACAUGUGGCGCAGCUAACGCGAUGAACACUCCGCCUGGGAAGUACGGUCGCAAGACUAAAACUCAAA